AAUCAACGCUGGCGGCGUGCCUAACACAUGCAAGUCGCACGAGAAAGGGUCUUCGGAUCUGAGUAAAGUGGCGCACGGGUGAGUAACACGUGAAUUAUCUACCUUCGAGUGGGGAAUAACUUCGGGAAACCGAGGCUAAUACCGCAUAAUAUCUACGGAUCAAAGCAGUAAUGCGCUUGAAGAGGAGUUCGCGGCAGAUUAGUUAGUUGGCGGGGUAAUGGCCCACCAAGACGAUGAUUUGUAUCCGGCCUGAGAGGGCGCACGGACACACUGGAACUGAAACACGGUCCAGACUCCUACGGGAGGCAGCAGUGGGGAAUUUUGCGCAAUGGGGGAAACCCUGACGCAGCAACGCCGCGUGGAGGAUGAAGUCUCUUGGGACGUAAACUCCUUUCGAUAGGGAAGAUUACGACGGUACCUAUAGAAGAAGCCCCGGCUAACUUCGUGCCAGCCGCCGCGGUAA
Molecule: ribosomal RNA, 463 nt
Filed under: uncultured bacterium
Lineage: Bacteria
Description: partial 16S ribosomal RNA
Rfam family: Bacterial small subunit ribosomal RNA
Source: RNAcentral